CUUAUGGAAUCGUAGAGUUUUAACGUUGUGGUUUGGUUUGCUUUCGUGUCUCAUAUCUGAUAAGACAUGGUAUUGAGUGUUUAGAUCCGUUAAUUCUGAUGGUCGAUGGUGCUUAAAGUUGCGGAUCCGCUCCUUGCCUCAAAGUGGAGUCACAAGUAGCUUCUGUUCUGUCUGAGAAUUCUCUUCGUUGAGUCAACGCCUCCAUUGAAGGCUCUGGCUUUCCUUCUUGAUUCGUUUAUCUUCUUCCCUUGAUGAAUCUAUGCAACAUCAGAUAGGCUCGUGGUAUCUCCCUCGUCGUCUUCCUCCAAUGUGUCUCUGUUGGCGAGUUGCGUUAGAUUUGUUUAGGGAUUUUCGGAGUCUCUCUUUUGCGGAUCUUUGACUGUUCUGAGGUUGAGUCUUGUUUGAAUGAAGUUUCGGUUCUAGCCAUCUGCUUUGUCUACCUUGGUGUUGUGUUUGACAUCGAUGGUCCUGGAAAAUCUCUCCUUGUGAUGAGACGGACUCGAUGCUUUUUGCCAUUGGCUCUUGGAUAAAAAUUUUUGGUUGGUUCUUCUAUCUCUUUAAGAUCUGCUUCGUUUGGAGUAUGUGGGUCACUAAUUUGCCAUCUUAAGUUGUAUUUCUUCCAGUUUAAGGUUAUCGACUUCUCGGGGUUGGUUUGGAACGUUUAAUACUAUUCAAUGCUCUAUCAAGUCUUUCAGUAGAGAGAAGAGCUAUUCAAUGGGUUUUGAUUCGGAUCUUUCCACAAGACAAAUAAGACAAUUAUGCGUCGAUCUCUUAGUUUCAAGUUCAGUCAUUUUCCUUUCAGAUUCUCAUGAUUCUUAGUUCACUCAUUGAAGGUUUUUCUGCUUAUUUUCUAAGUUUUAGCUUAUGGUAUUUGUAUUUUUGGUUAUUUAUACUUUUUUUUUUUUGGUUCUUGUUUUUAGAGAUAUUAUUUUGUUCUGCCGACUUAUUUUACCGAGAAUUUUAGUUCCUUCUGCUGGUUUUUGUAACUUGUACUCCACCAUGUAUCACCCUUAGCGGUUGCUAUUUCAUGAAUAAUUCAGACAGAAAAAUAUAAUAAUUCAAAUUUGAUAUGGAUAAAUGAGA
Arabidopsis thaliana (thale cress) is the source of this 1083-nucleotide non-coding RNA. The record is from RefSeq. Lineage: Eukaryota; Viridiplantae; Streptophyta; Magnoliopsida; Brassicales; Brassicaceae.